GAAUGCACCCCGAUGCUAUAGGCGUUGACGGAAAGUGUAUUCCACAAACGACAACUGAUGCAGGUCCGAUGUACGCAACAGUCGAAACAGCAGUCGUUGUAAGUUCCGCAUUAGCAUCUUCUUUUCAGGAAACGGCUGGUCACGAGCACCAACAACUACUUGACUACCUGCGCGUCUUAUUUGCGGCCGUUAACCUGAACCUUCGGAAGACUGAAACAGAUAUCCUUGACCUGGAGCUUGCAGUUACUGACAUUAUGGUGCUCAAGG
Dermacentor silvarum is the source of this 267-nucleotide long non-coding RNA. RefSeq lists it as uncharacterized. The record is from RefSeq and is a predicted model, not a curated record. NCBI's taxonomy places the organism in Eukaryota, Metazoa, Arthropoda, Arachnida, Ixodida, Ixodidae. The transcript is spliced from 3 exons.